Molecule: small nucleolar RNA, 133 nt
Organism: Hyla sarda
Lineage: Eukaryota; Metazoa; Chordata; Amphibia; Anura; Hylidae
Source: RefSeq, a predicted model, not a curated record
CCUCUUCUCAAAGCACUUGCUGUGUCUUCUCUGUGGCAUAGUGAGUUGUCGUGGAAGAGGAGAUAAAUACAUUACUUUUGGGUGAAGGGGCGGCCACAUGUGCUGUACUACUUCAAUCGGUAAUGUUACAAUG